GGGCACGUGGCGGAGAGGCUGAUCGCUCCGGCUUGCUAAGCCGGCGGACGUGGCAACACGUCCCGCAGGUUCGAAUCCUGCCGUGCCCG
Molecule: transfer RNA, 89 nt
Filed under: Curtobacterium sp. MCBD17_040
Lineage: Bacteria; Bacillati; Actinomycetota; Actinomycetes; Micrococcales; Microbacteriaceae
Rfam family: tRNA
About the family: Transfer RNA (tRNA) molecules are approximately 80 nucleotides in length. Their secondary structure includes four short double-helical elements and three loops (D, anti-codon, and T loops).
Source: Rfam by way of RNAcentral